UGGGGAAUAUUGGACAAUGGGCGGAAGCCUGAUCCAGCCAUGCCGCGUGUGUGAAGAAGGCCUUUUGGUUGUAAAGCACUUUAAGCGAGGAGGAGGCUACUUGGAUUAAUACUCUAGGAUAGUGGACGUUAAUCGCAGAAUAAGCACCGGCUAACUCUGUGCCAGCAGCCGCGGUAAUACGGAGGGUGCGAGCGUUAAUCGGAUUUACUGGGCGUAAAGCGUGCGUAGGCGGCUUCUUAAGUCGGAUGUGAAAUCCCUGAGCUUAACUUAGGAAUUGCAUUCGAUACUGGGAAGCUAGAGUAUGGGAGAGGAUGGUAGAAUUCCAGGUGUAGCGGUGAAAUGCGUAGAGAUCUGGAGGAAUACCGAUGGCGAAGGCAGCCAUCUGGCCUAAUACUGACGCUGAGGUACGAAAGCAUGGGGAGCAAACAGG
Molecule: ribosomal RNA, 430 nt
Filed under: Bacillota bacterium
Lineage: Bacteria; Bacillati; Bacillota
Description: Firmicutes bacterium partial 16S ribosomal RNA
Rfam family: Bacterial small subunit ribosomal RNA
Source: RNAcentral